Non-coding RNA from Canis lupus familiaris (dog), 46 nucleotides. The record is from Rfam. NCBI's taxonomy places the organism in Eukaryota, Metazoa, Chordata, Mammalia, Carnivora, Canidae.
CCAAAGGCUCUUUUCAGAGCCACCACGUUUUCAAGUAAAUUGGCUG